This 181-nucleotide ribosomal RNA is filed under the name uncultured bacterium. Its description in RNAcentral is "partial 16S ribosomal RNA". It matches the Rfam family "Bacterial small subunit ribosomal RNA", at positions 1320 to 1500 of the family's 1533-position model. The record is from RNAcentral.
AUGAAGUCGGAAUUGCUAGUAAUCGUAGGUCAGCAUACUACGGUGAAUACGUUCCCGGGCCUUGUACACACCGCCCGUCAAACCAUGAGAGUUGGCAACACCCGAAGUCGGUAGUCUAACCGCAAGGAGGACGCCGCCGAAGGUGGGGUUGAUGAUUAGGGUUAAGUCGUAACAAGGUAGC